Molecule: ribosomal RNA, 397 nt
Filed under: uncultured bacterium
Lineage: Bacteria
Description: bacterial SSU rRNA
Rfam family: Bacterial small subunit ribosomal RNA
Source: RNAcentral
GACGAACGCUGGCGGCGUGCCUAACACAUGCAAGUCGAACGGAGUUGUUCCUUCGGGGACAGCUUAGUGGCGAACGGGUGAGUAACGCGUGAGGAACCUGCCUCUCAGUGGGGGACAACAGUUGGAACGACUGCUAAUACCGCAUAAUGUUUUCGGUACCGCAUGAUCUGAAAACCAAAGCUUUAUGUGCUGAGAGAUGGCCUCGCGUCUGAUUAGCUAGUUGGUGGGGUAACGGCCCACCAAGGCGACGAUCAGUAGCCGGUCUGAGAGGAUGAACGGCCACAUUGGGACUGAGAUACGGCCCAGACUCCUACGGGAGGCAGCAGUGGGGAAUAUUGGGCAAUGGGGGAAACCCGUGACCCAGCAACGCCGCGUGAAGGAAGAAGGCCUUCGGGUU